UGAGGAAUAUUCCACAAUGGGCGAAAGCCUGAUGGAGCGACGCCGCGUGCGGGAUGAAGCCCUUUGGGGUGUAAACCGCUUUUUUGGGGGAUGAAACGCAGGGGCAACCCUGCUAAGACAGUACCCCAAGAAUAAGCAUCGGCUAACUACGUGCCAGCAGCCGCGGUAAUACGUAGGAUGCAAGCGUUGUCCGGAUUUACUGGGCGUAAAGCGCGCGCAGGCGGCACUGUAAGUAAGAUGUGAAAUCUCCUUGCUCAACGGGGAGGGUGCAUUUUAGACUACAGAGCUAGAGGUCGGUAGAGGGGGGUGGAAUUGCUGGUGUAGCGGUGAAAUGCGUAGAGAUCAGCAGGAACACCCGUGGCGAAGGCGGCCCCCUGGGCCGUACCUGACGCUGAGGCGCGAAGGCUAGGGGAGCGAACGG
Molecule: ribosomal RNA, 421 nt
Filed under: uncultured bacterium
Lineage: Bacteria
Description: bacterial SSU rRNA
Rfam family: Bacterial small subunit ribosomal RNA
Source: RNAcentral